GCGGCGGCCGCGGACUCCCAAGGCCGGAGAAGUCUCGCCCUCAGUUCGAGGAGUUGCGGUUAAAAUGGCAAGCGGGACAUUGGAGGGUAUUAGGUUAAAUAUUUAUUUUUAAGUAUUUCUGGACAGAACUUGUAUUUCCAGCCCUUCCUUAGGCUGUCCAUUCACAUGAAGUGGUUGACUUUUUAUUCAGAUUAUACUUUUUAAAAAAUUGUUUUAAUUAUCCGUAAUAGUUCCCCGUUAAAAAAAUGACAAGUAAAAUUUUUUAAAAAUGAAAAAUUCAUGGAAUCUUAGAGUUGAGAAAACAGUACAGUAGAGCGUUUAAGAGCUGGAACUCUGAGGACUUCCCUGGCGGUCCAGUGGUUAAGACUCUGCGCUCCCACUGCAGGGGGCACCCGGUUGGAUCCCUGGUCCAGAAUGAUUUUGACCUACACCCAGUGUUGAUGCUACCAGGAGAAAAAAAUUCACUGCAAAGACGCUUCACCUUUUACCAAGUGUCCAGCGUUCCAGAUCACCUUUGAUGAGCAGAGAUUAAAGGUUAUCCCUAAACUGGCUUUGCAGGAUGCCGGGAGGAACUCAUCCUCCGACCACUACCCUUCCGGGAACUUGCCAGCACAGGCACCUUUUUCUCUACGCCUAUGUGUAAAAGGUGGUAGCAGCAGAGUCCCUCAGCCAUGAAGACAUCCCAGGGCAUAUAAAAGUUAUGUUUAGGGGUUUCCCUGGUGGCGCAGUGGUUGAGAAUCUGCCUGCCAAUGCAGAGAACACGGGUUCGAGCCCUGGUCUGGGAGGAUCCCACAUGCUGCGGAGCGGCUGGGCCCGUGAGCCACAACUACUGAGCCUGCGCGUCUGGAGCCUGUGCUCCGCAACAAGAGAGGCCAUGAGAGUGAGGGACCCGCACACCGCGAUGAGGAGUGGCCCCCGCUCGCCGCAAGUAGAGAAAGCCCUCGCACAGAAACGAAGACCCAACACAGCCAAAGAUAAAUAAAUAAAUAAAUUUUUUAAAAAAAUUCAAAAAAAAAAAAGUUAUGUUUAUACUAUACUGUAGUCUAUUAAGUGUGCAAUAGCAUAUUUUUAUGUCUAAAAAAACAAUGAAUAUACCUUAAUUUCAAAAUAUUUUGUUGCUAAAAAAUGCUAGUUCAAUUACAAUAGAACAUCAAAGAUCACUGAUCACAGAUUACAGUAAUAAAUGUAAUAAUGAAAAAGUUUGAAAGACUGCGAGAAUAACCAAAAUGUGACAAGACACAAAGUGAGCAAACGCUGUUGGAAAAAUGGCACCGAUAGAAUUCUCAACGCAGGGCUGCCACAAACCUUCAAUUUGUAAAAAAUGCAAUAUCUGCAAAGUACAAUAAAGCAAAGCACGAUAAAACAACG
Molecule: long non-coding RNA, 1368 nt
Organism: Balaenoptera ricei (Rice's whale)
Lineage: Eukaryota; Metazoa; Chordata; Mammalia; Artiodactyla; Balaenopteridae
Exons: 4
Source: RefSeq, a predicted model, not a curated record